RNAcentral lists this microRNA precursor (83 nucleotides) under Sapajus apella (tufted capuchin). Its description in RNAcentral is "Cebus apella (Tufted capuchin) mir-95 microRNA precursor family". It matches the Rfam family "mir-95 microRNA precursor family". Lineage: Eukaryota; Metazoa; Chordata; Mammalia; Primates; Cebidae. The record is from Rfam by way of RNAcentral. RNAcentral also lists the same sequence under 2 other names.
CAUUAGUAGGCCUCAGUAAAUGUUUAUUAGAUGAAUAAAUGAAUGACUCAUCAACAAACAUUUAUUGUGUGCCUGCUAAAGUG